Caenorhabditis elegans is the source of this 213-nucleotide non-coding RNA. The record is from Ensembl. Lineage: Eukaryota; Metazoa; Nematoda; Chromadorea; Rhabditida; Rhabditidae.
UAGUGACUUGACGCAUUUCUAAGGCAUUGGCGAGUUUCUCGUGAUUUGGCGCAUUUCCAGUGCCUUGGCACAUUUCCAGUGCCUUGGCGCGUUUCUAGUGACUUGGCCCAUUCCUAGUGCCUUGGCGCGUUUCUCGUGCCUUGGCGCAUUUCCAGUGCCUUGGCGCAUUUCCAGUGCCUUGGCCCUUAUCAAGUGCCUUGGCGCAUUUCUAGA